Non-coding RNA from Nothobranchius furzeri (turquoise killifish), 1242 nucleotides. The record is from RefSeq and is a predicted model, not a curated record. NCBI's taxonomy places the organism in Eukaryota, Metazoa, Chordata, Actinopteri, Cyprinodontiformes, Nothobranchiidae.
GGCGUUCGUUACAUGAUUACAUAAGAUGCAAGCUCUUUUACGGUGAGUUUUUUCCUAUUAGACUUUCAAGCAAGUUUACGGUGGGGUGUUAACCUUAAAACAAAUGAUGAGAAGCUUUAUUCGCUAAAUAAACACACACACACGGGAAUUAUGACGGGACCACCAUACAAGCUCGUUCUCGCUGAUUUCUGCUUAAAAUGUACUUAUACAAACGAAAAAUGUCUAUAAACAGAACCGUUUUCAGCUUAGUUUUCUACCGCUAUUUUCCUUUUAAAAAGCCUGCUGGGAUCAAGCUAGUUUACGGUGGGUUUUUUCCUAUUAAACAUUCAAGCUGGUAUUCGGUGGGGCAUGUUUUAGCCUUAAAUUACAUGAAAAAAAAAACAAUUUGCGGUAUUAGAUCUUAUAUAAAAAACAAACCAAAAGUGCCCAAACACGUAUUUUAUUUUUUUGACCGCUAUUUUUUUAACUAACUUACAUUUUAAGCUGUACUGCUGUCCCGCUCCGUCCGCCGUUGUUGCGAGUGUCGAGUCCAGCGGCCGGCGCGCAAAGCAUGCUGGGAUACCCUUGCUCCUGUGAGGAUCUAUCAGACCCAUCCUCGAAAUGUGGGUGGAGCGAGGACGCGUUUGAGGCAUAGACUGUACAUACUGGACAAACGGAUUCCAUAGACUCCAAUAACACGUUUUUUGUCCAUAAUGGGAGGUGGCCACCAUCGCCAUUUUGACCGUGUCACAGGUUCCGUCCAGCCCAGACAAUUCCAUAAAAGGGAAGAGAGGAGGCGCUGAGGGUGGGGAUGUAAGGCUGGGAUCGAGUGACGAACUAGCCACGAGCUAACCUGAAGCUAACCCUGGCUAACCCAAAGCUAAAGCGGAGGUGGGAGCCGAGCUAACGGAUGUAGCCACCUAGCUUCAAUUCAACCGGAGCUAACCGGAACACCCAACGACCUGACCCUCACACGGAGUUUAGGUGGAGGUUUUCUGCGCCUGUUCGUGAGAAGUACCUGUAUUAAAAAGUUUUAAAUCGAUCUGUUAAAAGGUCACCAUGGCAGCCUGUGUGUCUCCAACAUCAGCUACACAACGCAGCGUCCAUUUGGAUCAUUGGAGACAGCUGAGUGAGGCGUGGUGCCCAGAGAGCUGCAGAGACCGUCGGAGACAACCUUGGCCUCCCUGACGUCUGUGUCUCCUGGUUUGGUUGGGGCGGACCAUCGACAUACAUACAUGUGCCGACACUUUGCGCCCUGUUUUA